RNAcentral lists this ribosomal RNA (200 nucleotides) under uncultured bacterium. Its description in RNAcentral is "partial 16S ribosomal RNA". It matches the Rfam family "Bacterial small subunit ribosomal RNA", at positions 28 to 227 of the family's 1533-position model. The record is from RNAcentral.
GAUGGACGCUAGCGGCAGGCCUAAUACAUGCAAGUCGAACGAUAGUUGAGAGCUUGCUCUUGACGAAAGUGGCGCACGGGUGCGUAACGCGUAUGCAACCUACCUUAAUCAGGGGGAUAGCCCGAAGAAAUUCGGAUUAACACCGCAUAAAAACACAGGAUGGCAUUAUCCAAUGUUCAAAUAUUUAUAGGAUUAAGAUG